UACAGAGGUCCCGAGCGUUGUUCGGAUUUAUUGGGCGUAAAGGGCGCGUAGGCGGCGGGACAAGUUUUUGGUAAAAGGCAGAGGCUCAACCUCUGUAAGCCAAGAAUACUGUUCCUCUGGAGGCAUGUCGGGGAAGUUGGAAUUAUCGGUGUAGCAGUGAAAUGCGUAGAUAUCGAUAGGAACACCAGUGGCGAAAGCGAACUUCUAGGCAUUGCCUGACGCUGAGGCGCGAAAGCCAAGGUAGCAAACGGG
This 252-nucleotide ribosomal RNA is filed under the name uncultured bacterium. RNAcentral's name for it is "partial 16S ribosomal RNA". It matches the Rfam family "Bacterial small subunit ribosomal RNA", at positions 524 to 776 of the family's 1533-position model. The record is from RNAcentral.